This is a non-coding RNA of Gavialis gangeticus (Gharial), 1212 nucleotides long. The record is from the annotation of a RefSeq genome assembly. Lineage: Eukaryota; Metazoa; Chordata; Crocodylia; Gavialidae.
GAAGCAAAUUCACACCAUUUAAUCCUCUCACCCUGGGAUUCCUUCCACCUGAAAUAAAAAGCAUCCAAUUUCAUUAGAUUUCUGUAUUCUGGUGGUAUCACUCCCUCAGCUGCUAUAAAACAAGUUGUCAUUUCUACCAAAGGUUAGGGACCCUCUAAAUAAAGUAAGGCACCCCCAAGCUGCUGGGGCUCAGUCCACUGACUGCACAUUGAAGUAGCAUGGACCUAUCCUUCACUGAGAAACUGGAAUUUUCCCUCGGAGAUUUUUUCUCUGGUAGGGCUCCGGGAUAUUUACCUGGGAGAGAGAGGAAGUCCCAGACCAUGGGAGGUUUAGCUUUGAUAAAAUCCAGCCAGAGGCACAAUCUGGAAAUCCUCUAGGUCUUUAUUUGUUCCCCCAGGCUCCUGCUUUACUGUACCAUUUGUCUGGUACAGUAACAAAACCCAAGUCCCCAUUUCCAGGUUUCCCCUUGGCUCUAAAAACCUGUAUUCAACAGCCAAAUCUACCUUGUGUGAGAUCUGUGAAAGGUCCUUAUAAAAGAAGCACAUGCAAAUGGUGUUGCCCAAUUUCCUGCUUAACACAUGCAAGGUUCCUCCUUAAACACCAGCCCAGGCUCUGUGCACCUCAGUGUCCCCCAGAGCCGCCACCUCCCGUCUGCUGGGGACACCGGGCAUCAGCCACAAUGACCAUGACACCAGCACUGGCUUUGCUCAUCGUUCUGGCAGCUCCACUGGGUAUCCUGGCCCAGGUCAUGCUGAAGGAGUCCAGCCCAGGGGUUGUGAAACCUGGAGAGACCCUCAGCCUGACCUACACUGUGUCUGGAUUCUCUCUCACUAGCUAUGAUGUGCAGUGGGUUCGGCAGGCAGCAGGGAAAGGGCUGCAGUGGGUCAGAGUUAUCUGGAGCGAUGGAAGCACUAACUAUAACAGCACUCUCCAAAGCCUCCUCACUGUCAGCAGAGACAUGUCCAGCAGCCAAGUGCACCUGCGCCUGACCGGGGUCCAACCUGUAGACACAGUCCGGUAUUACUGUGCCAGGGACACAAUUUAUGAAAAUGCAUGAGAGCGUGCACAAAAACCAGCCCUGCAGGACCUGCCCUGCCUGUGUGAGCAGCAGAUAGCAGGUGCCAGCCCCAUGCUCCACUGCCUGCCAGGUUGGACACAUCAGGCCUUUUAGAUCACUUGAACCAGCCAGGGAUUAAACACAGGGAAGGCUCA